AAUCCUAUAUAUACCAAAAACCCCAGAAAUAAACAAAGAACUUAUGCUCCGCUGUUGCAACACUUUGUAUCAACAAAAACACAUAUGAAGCCUUUCGAGUACCCUAUCUGAGAGGGGAAAUAAUCUCCGGUGGCCAUCUUCAUCAUCCUGGCAGAGGCCAUGACGAGGAGGGAGUAGUUCACCCUCGGGGUUGAGAGUAUGUACUAG
RNAcentral lists this long non-coding RNA (207 nucleotides) under Hordeum vulgare. RNAcentral's name for it is "long non-coding RNA (HVUL_LNC002538)". Lineage: Eukaryota; Viridiplantae; Streptophyta; Magnoliopsida; Poales; Poaceae. The record is from RNAcentral.